RNAcentral lists this transfer RNA (67 nucleotides) under Lamproptera curius. Its description in RNAcentral is "tRNA-Tyr". It matches the Rfam family "tRNA". Rfam says of the family: Transfer RNA (tRNA) molecules are approximately 80 nucleotides in length. Their secondary structure includes four short double-helical elements and three loops (D, anti-codon, and T loops). Further hydrogen bonds mediate the characteristic L-shaped molecular structure. tRNAs have two regions of fundamental functional importance: the anti-codon, which is responsible for specific mRNA codon recognition, and the 3' end, to which the tRNAs corresponding amino acid is attached (by aminoacyl-tRNA synthetases). tRNAs cope with the degeneracy of the genetic code in two manners: having more than one tRNA (with a specific anti-codon) for a particular amino acid; and 'wobble' base-pairing, i.e. permitting non-standard base-pairing at the 3rd anti-codon position. The record is from RNAcentral. Lineage: Eukaryota; Metazoa; Arthropoda; Insecta; Lepidoptera; Papilionidae.
AAUAAAAUGGCUGAAUUUUAAGCGAUAAAUUGUAAAUUUAUUUAUGAGAUAAAUUUCUCUUUUAUUA